CAGCCGCCGCGGUAAUACCGGCGGCCCGAGUGGCGGCCACUAUUAUUGGGCCUAAAGCGUCCGUAGCCGGGCUGGUAAGUCCCCCGGGAAAUCUGGCGGCUUAACCGUCAGAAUUCCGGGGGAUACUGCCAGCCUAGGGACCGGGAGAGGCCGGGGGUAUUCCCGGGGUAGGGGUGAAAUCCUGUAAUCCCGGGAGGACCACCUGUGGCGAAGGCGCCCGGCUGGAACGGGUCCGACGGUGAGGGACGAAGGCCAGGGGAGCGAACCGGAUUAGAUACCCGGGUAGUCCUGGCUGUAAAGGAUGCGGGCUAGGUGUCGGGUGAGCUUCGGGCUCGCCCGGUGCCGUAGGGAAGCCGUUAAGCCCGCCGCCUGGGGAGUACGGCCGCAAGGCUGAAACUUAAAGGAAUUGGCGGG
Molecule: ribosomal RNA, 414 nt
Filed under: uncultured microorganism
Description: bacterial SSU rRNA
Rfam family: Archaeal small subunit ribosomal RNA
Source: RNAcentral